RNAcentral lists this transfer RNA (58 nucleotides) under Angiostrongylus vasorum (French heartworm). Its description in RNAcentral is "tRNA-Cys". The record is from RNAcentral. Lineage: Eukaryota; Metazoa; Nematoda; Chromadorea; Rhabditida; Metastrongylidae.
GAAGCUCUAGUAUAAAUUUUUGUAUUUUUAAUUGCAAAUUAGAAGGUGACGGGUUUUU